This is a long non-coding RNA of Bubalus bubalis (water buffalo), 447 nucleotides long. RefSeq lists it as uncharacterized. The record is from RefSeq and is a predicted model, not a curated record. Lineage: Eukaryota; Metazoa; Chordata; Mammalia; Artiodactyla; Bovidae. The transcript is spliced from 3 exons.
UUCCGUCUGCAGAUGAAUAAGGCAACAACAGCAACGAGCAUGCCAAUUAAGAACAGACCAGCACUCACACCUUCAAUAACUCCAAACAGAGGCUCUACAAUGAUCCAGAGGGCAACAAGAAACCCAGAUAAGAAAGCUGAGGCUUGGAGGUGCUCAGUGACCUGCCCAGUUUCACAUAGAAACUUUUUCUUCUUCCCUACGUCAUACUUCAGGUUUGUUAAACCAGCUUGGACAACAUCAUUGUCACUAUCGAGAUAAACUCCUUUCUUGCCACUCCUUCCUCACCCCUUAGGCCUUCAAAUCCUCAACCAAAACACUUGGCUACCCAACAUGCUAAAUACACCGCUCUAUUUCCAAUUACCUGUGAAGCCCUCAAUGAAGGCCGACUGCUGGACAUCUCCACUAAUCGUCAAGACAAGAAUUUUAUACUUGCGCCCUGGUGUGAGG